Molecule: ribosomal RNA, 254 nt
Filed under: uncultured bacterium
Lineage: Bacteria
Description: partial 16S ribosomal RNA
Rfam family: Bacterial small subunit ribosomal RNA
Source: RNAcentral
UACGGAGGAUCCAAGCGUUAUCCGGAAUCAUUGGGUUUAAAGGGUCCGUAGGCGGUUUGGUAAGUCAGUGGUGAAAGCCCAUCGCUCAACGGUGGAACGGCCAUUGAUACUGCCAGACUUGAAUUAUUAGGAAGUAACUAGAAUAUGUAGUGUAGCGGUGAAAUGCUUAGAGAUUACAAUGGAAUACCAAUUGCGAAGGCAGGUUACUACUAAUGGAUUGACGCUGAUGGACGAAAGCGUGGGUAGCGAACAGG